AUUGAACGCUGGCGGCAUGCCUUACACAUGCAAGUCGAACGGCAGCGCGGGAGCAAUCCUGGCGGCGAGUGGCGAACGGGUGAGUAAUACAUCGGAACGUGCCCAAUCGUGGGGGAUAACGCAGCGAAAGCUGUGCUAAUACCGCAUACGAUCUACGGAUGAAAGCAGGGGAUCGCAAGACCUUGCGCGAAUGGAGCGGCCGAUGGCAGAUUAGGUAGCUGGUGAGGUAAAGGCUCACCAAGCCUUCGAUCUGUAGCUGGUCUGAGAGGACGACCAGCCACCUGGGAACGAGAACAGGCCCCGGACCCCAAGGGGGGGCGGCGUGGGGAAUUUUUGGAAAAGGGGGAAAGCCUGAACCAGACCAGGCGGGGGGGAGAAGAAGGGCUUUGGGUUGGAAAACUCUUUUUGUAGGGAAAAAAAGGGGUUUUUUAAAAAAAGAAGGUUAAGGAGGGUACCGAAAAAAAAGGCCCGGGCAAAUUCGGG
This 483-nucleotide ribosomal RNA is filed under the name uncultured bacterium. RNAcentral's name for it is "partial 16S ribosomal RNA". It matches the Rfam family "Bacterial small subunit ribosomal RNA", at positions 29 to 506 of the family's 1533-position model. The record is from RNAcentral.